RNAcentral lists this transfer RNA (83 nucleotides) under Treponema sp. RNAcentral describes it as "tRNA-Leu". It matches the Rfam family "tRNA". From Rfam's summary of the family: Transfer RNA (tRNA) molecules are approximately 80 nucleotides in length. The record is from RNAcentral. Lineage: Bacteria; Pseudomonadati; Spirochaetota; Spirochaetia; Treponematales; Treponemataceae.
GCCGGCGUGGCGGAAUGGCAGACGCAGCAGACUCAAAAUCUGCCGCACGCGAGUGUGUAUGAGUUCAAGUCUCAUCGCCGGUA